This 497-nucleotide ribosomal RNA is filed under the name uncultured bacterium. RNAcentral describes it as "partial 16S ribosomal RNA". It matches the Rfam family "Bacterial small subunit ribosomal RNA", at positions 28 to 507 of the family's 1533-position model. The record is from RNAcentral.
GAUGAACGCUGGCGGCGUGCCUAAUACAUGCAAGUCGAGCGAACGGACGAGAAGCUUGCUUUUCUGAUGUUAGCGGCGGACGGGUGAGUAACACGUGCAUAACCUACCUAUAAGACUGGGAUAACUUCGGGAAACCGGAGCUAAUACCGGAUAAUAUUUUGAACCGCAUGGUUCAAAAGUGAAAGACGGUCUUGCUGUCACUUAUAGAUGGAUCCGCGCUGCAUUAGCUAGUUGGUAAGGUAACGGCUUACCAAGGCAACGAUGCAUAGCCGACCUGAGAGGGUGAUCGGCCACACUGGAACUGAGACACGGUCCAGACUCCUACGGGAGGCAGCAGUAGGGAAUCUUCCGCAAUGGGCGAAAGCCUGACGGAGCAACGCCGCGUGAGUGAUGAAGGUCUUCGGAUCGUAAAACUCUGUUAUUAGGGAAGAACAUAUGUGUAAGUAACUGUGCACAUCUUGACGGUACCUAAUCAGAAAGCCACGGCUAACUACGUG